This 253-nucleotide ribosomal RNA is filed under the name uncultured bacterium. RNAcentral describes it as "partial 16S ribosomal RNA". It matches the Rfam family "Bacterial small subunit ribosomal RNA", at positions 524 to 776 of the family's 1533-position model. The record is from RNAcentral.
UACGGAGGGAGCUAGCGUUGUUCGGAAUUACUGGGCGUAAAGCGCACGUAGGCGGCUUUGUAAGUAAGAGGUGAAAGCCCAGAGCUCAACUCUGGAAUAGCCUUUUAAACUGCAUCGCUUGAAUCCAGGAGAGGUGAGUGGAAUUCCGAGUGUAGAGGUGAAAUUCGUAGAUAUUCGGAAGAACACCAGUGGCGAAGGCGGCUCACUGGACUGGUAUUGACGCUGAGGUGCGAAAGCGUGGGGAGCAAACAGG